GAUGAAGAACGCAGCGAAAUGCGAUAAGUAAUGUGAAUUGCAGAAUUCAGUGAAUCAUCGAAUCUUUGAACGCACAUUGCGCCCGCUAGUAUUCUGGCGGGCAUGCCUGUCCGAGCGUCAUUUCAACCCUCAAGCCCCCGGGCUUGGUGUUGGGGAUCGGCGAGCCUCCGCGCCCGCCGUCCCCUAAAUCUAGUGGCGGUCUCGCUGUAGCUUCCUCUGCGUAGUAGCACACCUCGCACUGGGAAACAGCGCGGCAACGCCGUUAAACCCCCAACUUCUGAACGUUUGACCUCGGAUCAGGUAGGAAUACCCGCUGAACUUAAGCAUAUCAAUAAGCGGAGGA
RNAcentral lists this unclassified non-coding RNA (343 nucleotides) under soil metagenome. RNAcentral describes it as "partial contains 5.8S ribosomal RNA, internal transcribed spacer 2, and large subunit ribosomal RNA". The stretch from base 1 to 120 matches the Rfam family "5.8S ribosomal RNA", at positions 35 to 154 of the family's 154-position model. The record is from RNAcentral.